This 314-nucleotide ribosomal RNA is filed under the name Salmonella enterica. RNAcentral describes it as "partial 16S ribosomal RNA". It matches the Rfam family "Bacterial small subunit ribosomal RNA", at positions 1232 to 1533 of the family's 1533-position model. The record is from RNAcentral. Lineage: Bacteria; Pseudomonadati; Pseudomonadota; Gammaproteobacteria; Enterobacterales; Enterobacteriaceae. RNAcentral also lists the same sequence under 1 other name.
GGCGCAUACAAAGAGAAGCGACCUCGCGAGAGCAAGCGGACCUCAUAAAGUGCGUCGUAGUCCGGAUUGGAGUCUGCAACUCGACUCCAUGAAGUCGGAAUCGCUAGUAAUCGUGGAUCAGAAUGCCACGGUGAAUACGUUCCCGGGCCUUGUACACACCGCCCGUCACACCAUGGGAGUGGGUUGCAAAAGAAGUAGGUAGCUUAACCUUCGGGAGGGCGCUUACCACUUUGUGAUUCAUGACUGGGGUGAAGUCGUAACAAGGUAACCGUAGGGGAACCUGCGGUUGGAUCACCUCCUUACCUUAAAGAAGC